UGAGGAAUUUUGCGCAAUGGGGGAAACCCUGACGCAGCGACGCCGCGUGGAGGAUGAAGGCCUUCGGGUCGUAAACUCCUGUCAGAGGUGAAGAAUGCCCGCAAGGGUUUGACGGUAACCUCAGAGGAAGCCCCGGCUAACUACGUGCCAGCAGCCGCGGUAAUACGUAGGGGGCAAACGUUACUCGGAAUUACUGGGCGUAAAGGGUGCGUAGGCGGCUGGGAAAGUCAAGGAUGAAAUCCCGUGGCUCAACUGCGGAACGGUCCUUGAAACUACUCGGCUUGAGGAUAAACGAAGAGAACGGAAUUCCCGGUGGAGCGGUGAAAUGCGUAGAUAUCGGGAGGAACACCUGAGGCGAAAGCGGUUCUCUAGACUACUCCUGACGCUGAGGCACGAAAGCUAGGGGAGCAA
This 411-nucleotide ribosomal RNA is filed under the name uncultured bacterium. RNAcentral's name for it is "bacterial SSU rRNA". It matches the Rfam family "Bacterial small subunit ribosomal RNA", at positions 355 to 771 of the family's 1533-position model. The record is from RNAcentral.